GACGAACGCUGGCGGCGUGCUUAACACAUGCAAGUCGAGCGAGGCCCCUCCUUCGGGAGGGUGUUCUAGCGGCGAACAGGUGAGUAACACGUGUGCAACCUGCCCUCAGCUCUGGGAUAACUCCUGGAAACCGGGGCUAAUACCGGAUACGACCUCCACGGGCAUCUGCGGAGGUUGAAAGUUUUUCGGCUGAGGAUGGGCCCGCGACCUAUCAGCUAGUUGGUGGGGUAGUGGCCCACCAAGGCGACGACGGGUAGCCGGCCUGAGAGGGCGACCGGCCACACGGGGACUGAGACACGGCCCAGACUCCUACGGGAGGCAGCAGUGGGGAAUAUUGCGCAAUGGGCGAAAGCCUGACGCAGCGAAGCCGCGUGAGGGACGAAGGCCCUCGGGUUGUAAACCUCUUUCAGCAGGGACGAAGAGAAAGUGACGGUACCUGCAGAAGAAGCACCGGCCAGCUACGUG
RNAcentral lists this ribosomal RNA (465 nucleotides) under uncultured bacterium. Its description in RNAcentral is "partial 16S ribosomal RNA". It matches the Rfam family "Bacterial small subunit ribosomal RNA", at positions 28 to 507 of the family's 1533-position model. The record is from RNAcentral.